AACGCGAAGAACCUUACCCAGACUUGACAUGCAGCGGACCGUACCAGAAAUGGUACUUCCCUUCGGGGCUGCUGCACAGGUGCUGCAUGGCUGUCGUCAGCUCGUGCCGUGAGGUGUUGGGUUAAGUCCCGCAACGAGCGCAACCCUUAUUACUAGUUGCCAACACGUAAAGGUGGGAACUCUAGUGAGACUGCCCGGGUUAACCGGGAGGAAGGUGAGGAUGACGUCAAGUCCGCAUGGCCCUUAUGUCUGGGGCUACACACGUGCUACAAUGGCCGGUACAGAAGGCUGCGAAACCGCGAGGUGAAGCAAAUCCCUAAAGCCGGUCCCAGUUCAGAUUGUAGUCUGCAACUCGACUACAUGAAGUUGGAAUUGCUAGUAAUGGCGUGUCAGCAACAGCGCCGUGAAUACGUUCCCGGGCCUUGUA
RNAcentral lists this ribosomal RNA (427 nucleotides) under uncultured Chlamydiae bacterium. RNAcentral's name for it is "bacterial SSU rRNA". It matches the Rfam family "Bacterial small subunit ribosomal RNA", at positions 958 to 1385 of the family's 1533-position model. Lineage: Bacteria; Pseudomonadati; Chlamydiota; Chlamydiia. The record is from RNAcentral.